ACUUCAGGAGGGGAAGAGAGGAAGUGCGCUGGGCAAAGAGGAAACGAUGUCACAGGACACACUUUUGCUGUCUUUGCUGCUGUCGCCUAAGAGGUGGACACAGCUCCCGAGGACUUACGCUAGAAGCCAAGCCAGUCUCCUCACCUGAAAAAUGGGAAGAGCAAAAUAUCCUACCCUAGAGGGUUGCUGUGAGAGCCGAAAGCGUCUAUCCACGUGAAGCACAUGGGACAGAGCCUGGCACAAAGAAAAUGCUUCCCAGCAAUGGAAAGCCCUGAUGGAGCCCGGUGUAAACUAUGCAGGGUGCCAGAGCCCCCACUGACAGCGCUGGUGUCCACAUGUGGUCACAGGGAUACAGCGGCAGCAUCCCAAAGCCCUAGCCUGGUCCAUCACCCUCAAAACUGCCUCUGGUUUGUCCAAGUCUACCAGGAUUCAAGUUCAUUUCAGAAAAGCAGUGGCCAGAAACCAAGGCCUGGAGGGGGCUGGGGAGGUGUCAGGGAAGGGAUCAGAGGCCAAGCUCUGUGUUUCCUCAGACAAAGAGAGAAAGCAGGCUGAGAGAUGGCGGCAGCAUGUGACACCUGGGCCACAGGCCUGGGCAGCAGCCGUGGCAGCCAAGGGGAUAAUGGCUCUCUUUGUCCUGCGUGUAAAUUCUCCGGAAAAGAAAGGAUUCCAGGGCCUGCUUCUCCGGCUUGCACAAUGCUGGCCGCCUGGGGCCCCACUGCGAGGGCCUGCCAUGGCAUUCGGGGAGCAGUGAGGCCCCUUCUCUGUCUCGUUCCUUCCAGGCGUGCAGAAGCGGAAAGUCAGGCUGCCGUGCCAGACAUUCUGCAGGGGGUUGGGAGGCUGGGCUGAGGCACAGCCUGUGCCAGGAGCUUUGUUUCACAGCCUCGAGGAAACCAAAGCAUCUUGAAGCUCUGAAUUAGAAAGAGUCUUAGAGAGCAUCCAUGCCAGCUCUUCCUAAUACUUGUCCCACCCCCUACCUUCUCUGCCUACCACUCCCCACUCCCCUGCCUUCAGCAGCCAAGAAUGGUUACAAACACAGGCUUUGGAGUCAGAGAGGGCUGAGUUCAAAUGCUGACAAUGCCACUCACAAGCUAUUUCAUCUCUAUGGGCUUCAGUUUCUCCACCUGCAAAAUGGACAUAAUAGCACCUACUCAUAAGAUUGUCAAUAGGAAUAAGUGAGAAAAUGCAUGUACCAUGCUUAAUGUGGACACAGCCUCCAGAAGCGCUCAAUAAGGGUAGACGGUCCAGUAGGUCACCCAGCCUGUACUUGAUUUCCUCCAAGGGCAGGCAAUCACUGCUUGCAUUCCAUUUUCAGACCAAGUUCAAAUCUGUCUCUUAUACCCUCAUGGGUGCUGAGGGUAAAGGGGAGAGGGCCUACAUACAUUAAACAUUUCCUACAUGUUACUGUUGCCAUAAAUUACUCACAGAACUUAAGGGCCUGUCUUAGUCUAUUUGUGUUGCUAUAAAGGAAUACCCGAGGCUGGGUAAUUUAUAAAGACAAGAGGUUUAUUUGGC
RNAcentral lists this long non-coding RNA (1512 nucleotides) under Homo sapiens (human). Its description in RNAcentral is "HSALNT0349686". Lineage: Eukaryota; Metazoa; Chordata; Mammalia; Primates; Hominidae. The record is from RNAcentral.